AGAGACUUAGGAUAACUAGACCAAGAGCCUUCAAAGCCCUAAGCGGAAGUGAAAACCUUCCAGUCCCUG
This 69-nucleotide transfer RNA is filed under the name Channa pulchra. Its description in RNAcentral is "tRNA-Trp". It matches the Rfam family "tRNA". From Rfam's summary of the family: Transfer RNA (tRNA) molecules are approximately 80 nucleotides in length. Lineage: Eukaryota; Metazoa; Chordata; Actinopteri; Anabantiformes; Channidae. The record is from RNAcentral.